CCUACGGGCGGCAGCAGUGAGGAAUAUUGGUCAAUGGGCGCGAGCCUGAACCAGCCAAGUCGCGUGAGGGAAGACGGUCCUAUGGAUUGUAAACUUCUGUUCUUAGUGAAGAAUAAUGACGGUAACUAAGGAGCAAGCCACGGCUAACUACGUGCCAGCAGCCGCGGUAAUACGUAGGUGGCAAGCGUUGUCCGGAAUUACUGGGUGUAAAGGGAGCGUAGGCGGGAAGCCAAGUCAGCUGUGAAAACUACGGGCUUAACCUGUAGACUGCAGUUGAAACUGGCUUUCUUGAGUGAAGUAGAGGUUGGCGGAAUUCCGAGUGUAGCGGUGAAAUGCGUAGAUAUUCGGAGGAACACCGGUGGCGAAGGCGGCCAACUGGGCUUUAACUGACGCUGAGGCUCGAAAGUGUGGGGAGCAAACAGGAUUAGAUACCCUGGUAGUC
Molecule: ribosomal RNA, 442 nt
Filed under: uncultured bacterium
Lineage: Bacteria
Description: partial 16S ribosomal RNA
Rfam family: Bacterial small subunit ribosomal RNA
Source: RNAcentral